Molecule: long non-coding RNA, 3602 nt
Organism: Micropterus dolomieu (smallmouth bass)
Lineage: Eukaryota; Metazoa; Chordata; Actinopteri; Centrarchiformes; Centrarchidae
Exons: 3
Source: RefSeq, a predicted model, not a curated record
UGUCCUGAUGGAUGUAGUCGUGGUUCUGUCGGUCAGCUGCGGCUCCACAGGUUAACAGGUGACUGUUUCAAAACGACUCUCUGUUUGCUGAGAUAAAUUCACACAGACUGCAGAUCAUCAUGAGACUCAUUACACACAACAACACACUCGUCCUUGUCUUUGUGUGUCUCCUGUUGCUGAUGUCAUCGGUGUGUGACGAAGAUGAAUGCGUCGCUGUGUCGGCCAUGUUGGAUCGGCAGCAGACAAACUGUGUCUCUUUGUGUUUCAAUUCAAUUAUGUUGAUUUUUCUGGAAUCCAGAACAACAAGCAGGAAUUCAACUUCUCCUGCUGCAGCGCCAAACAGAUCUUUAACGUCCAGAUCAUGUGCAACGUCCAGCUAAUAAAAAGUGUAAUCAGGAAAAUGUACUUAAAAAAGUGCCAUCCUCAACCAACAGGCCACCUGCAACAUUAUUAACAAUCAGAGCCGGAGCGUCCUAUACGUGCACUACGUAAAUGAAGCAGGACCUCGUGUGAGUGUUUACAAUUUUGAAGAGAAGAUGAAGAAUGAUUAUCGUUCUGGGCACAAGAAGAGAACGAGCUCAGACUGACCAGCAGUCAGUACAUGACCCCCUGUCAGCCACAACAACCAGAAGGCAGCAGCAGAUGGUGGGUCUACGGAGAACAGGAUGGAGCUGCAGAGUGAUCCGGUUCUGCACAAUGGGUGAAAUUUGAACACCAGACCUUUUGGCUUGUUGCCUGUCACUGUAGGACGAACUGCGCCUCUUCCACUGGAGAACCAGCUGCAAAAUAAAGACGCACAUCAAAUACAAAGAGUGGUUGGUGGCAGAUCAAGGAUCAGGACAUCCGUACUUCAAACUGGACCAGAGGCCCCAGACACCUCGGGCCCCAGGGCUUGUUCAUGGAACAAUCCUGAUUACAUGUAAAAAAAAAAAAAACACGUCUACAGCAUCAGUACAUUAUACAGCAAAGAGAGAGAGGGAGAGAAUCUGCAGCUCUGUAACACGGACUCACUAAACUGAACAUUUCUGAUGACAGAUCUGUGCUGCUGUUUACUGUCGCCACAAUGACCAUCUGCAGAGAGUUGACUGGAUGACAGAGAACCUUCACAGACAUCUAUUUCUUUGUGAUUAAGAACUCUGAGUUGCAGAUUCAGUCAAACAGCCCAACUGAAAUAAAACGCAGAAACAAGACAUUAAAACAUUUUGCCCAAUGAAGUCUUAACACAUGCCCGAGCCGAUUUGUGACUACUACUAAAAAAGAAACAGAGACAGAUGUUUCCCUCAGGUCUUGAGUGUUGCAUUGUUUGCCCACCAGAGGGCGCACUGCCUCGAUACGAAACAAAAGAAUGAGCUGACCGGAGUCGACGGAGCGUGCACAAGCAGCAGCGUGUUUAAUGCUACAGUCGGUGAGCGCUGGAGGUUACGCUGCUGACAGACCUGACCGUAGAUUAACAGGGGGACCGUUCUACUGAACGGUCCCCUCAUUUCUCUCAAGUUCAUCACUUCAAAGUAAUUCACGUGUUUAUCAGAGGAGGAGCGGCAACAUUAAAGGCGGUUAAAGUAAAGUUUUUAACGAAUUCUAAAUAUAUCUGCCAUUGUCUGCCAUCCCUGCAAGGCUAGUAAGUAGGAACAAUGGAGCAGCGGAGAGAGAGGACGACCCUGAACAAAUUCAGGUCAAGCAGCGUACAGCAGCAGAGUGGACAUUUCACAGCAGCACUAGGGUGACGCACGAGCAUCUUAAACACGAGCACCCUGGAGCCGUUGCGUCUCACGCCGGGGUACGUUUUUAGCGACCGCUUGCUGGUUAAGCCAACUGGCUGUAAUGUAAAGUUUGUUAGUGUACCUGUCAGAAAACAAGGUGCCGGCCAAGAGAACGGACUACGAGGACCACCAGCACAUUUUAGACACAGAGGACAGAUGGUCAAGGAAUCCAUUUACAGCCGGGUCCAGAAACUGUCGCUUAACGGGGGAGGAGGUCUGAGACACCACUUAUCUUCCUCCAACAACCGUCCUCUCAUCUCUUCCCAGGAAACAAAACGAACGUUCUCUUUUGGCCUCAGGUGGCUCCAACGACCAUAAACCCUGUCGUUACAACAUCCAGGAGCCCUAACGACCCAAACAGUUCUCCAAAGAAGGUUCACAGAGACAGACUCACCAGAGUCCACAGAGACAGACUCACCAGAGUCCUCAAAGAAGACUCACCAGAGUCCACAGAGACAGAUUCACCAGAGUCCUCAAAGAAGACUCACCAGAGUCCACACAGAAGACUCACCAGAGUCCACAGAGACAGACUCACCAGAGUCCACACAGAAGACUCACCAGAGUCCAGAGAGACAGACUCACCAGAGUCCUCAAAGAAGACUCACCAGAGUCCACAGAGACAGACUCACCAGAGUCCACAAAGAAGACUCACCAGAGUCCACAGAGACAGACUCACCAGAGUCCUCAAAGAAGACUCACCAGAGUCCACAGAGACAGACUCACCAGAGUCCACACAGAAGACUCACCAGAGUCCAGAGAGACAGACUCACCAGAGUCCUCAAAGAAGACUCACCAGAGUCCACAGAGACAGACUCACCAGAGUCCACAAAGAAGACUCACCAGAGUCCACAGAGACAGACUCACCAGAGUCCUCAAAGAAGACUCACCAGAGUCCACAGAGACAGACUCACCAGAGUCCACACAGAAGACUCACCAGAGUCCAGAGAGACAGACUCACCAGAGUCCUCAAAGAAGACUCACCAGAGUCCACAGAGACAGACUCACCAGAGUCCACAAAGAAGACUCACCAGAGUCCACAGAGACAGACUCACCAGAGUCCUCAAAGAAGACUCACCAGAGUCCACAGAGACAGACUCACCAGAGUCCACACAGAAGACUCACCAGAGUCCAGAGAGACAGACUCACCAGAGUCCUCAAAGAAGACUCACCAGAGUCCACAGAGACAGACUCACCAGAGUCCACAAAGAAGACUCACCAGAGUCCACAGAGACAGACUCACCAGAGUCCUCAAAGAAGACUCACCAGAGUCCACAGAGACAGACUCACCAGAGUCCACACAGAAGACUCACCAGAGUCCAGAGAGACAGACUCACCAGAGUCCUCAAAGAAGACUCACCAGAGUCCACAGAGACAGACUCACCAGAGUCCUCAAAGAAGACUCACCAGAGUCCACAGAGACAGACUCACCAGAGUCCACAGAGACAACUAGAGAUUUAAUAUCUGCAGAAUUAACACAGUGAUGUCACUCUGUCUACAGGAAAUGAGUCAUUCAGUUUGCUGAUGAUGACAUCACAGUUGCUUUACUGCCAAAUGGAUGUGUGCGUGUAUGUGUGUGUGUGUGUGUGCGUGUAUGUGUAUGUGUGUGUGUGUGUGUGUGUGAACAUCAUCAGACGUGCAGAAUUCAGUUUGAGGACUUUGAAACAUGUUGUAAACACGUACACGAGGGCGCGCAUGAAUCUCCAUUAUCAGAGAGUCACUUAGUCUCGGGCUGCGGAGAACCAUGUGACCCUGAAGACUUGCCGCCGGGUCCCUUACUGACCCAAUUAAGGGAGAUUUGGAAGCAGCAUCCUGAUUAGUAAAAUAAAGUUACACAAAACGUUA